UACGUAGGGGGCGAGCGUUGUUCGGAAUCACUGGGCUUAAAGGGCGCGUAGGCGGGCCAUCAAGUCCGGGGUGAAAUCUUUCGGCUCAACCGGAAAAGUGCCUUUGAUACUGGUGGUCUCGAGGGAGGUAGGGGCAUGCGGAACUUCCGGUGGAGCGGUGAAAUGCGUAGAUAUCGGAAGGAACGCCGGUGGCGAAAGCGGCGUGCUGGACCUCUUCUGACGCUGAGGCGCGAAAGCUAGGGGAGCAAACAGG
This 253-nucleotide ribosomal RNA is filed under the name uncultured bacterium. RNAcentral describes it as "partial 16S ribosomal RNA". It matches the Rfam family "Bacterial small subunit ribosomal RNA", at positions 524 to 776 of the family's 1533-position model. The record is from RNAcentral.